Molecule: ribosomal RNA, 468 nt
Filed under: uncultured bacterium
Lineage: Bacteria
Description: partial 16S ribosomal RNA
Rfam family: Bacterial small subunit ribosomal RNA
Source: RNAcentral
GACGAACGCUGGCGGCGUGCUUAACACAUGCAAGUCGAGCGAAAAGACCCGGCGUUUGUUCGUUUCUCGUUUGGCGAACAGGGGAGUAACACAUGAGUAACCUCCCCUUAACUUUCUGGGAACUUCACGAGACUCGGGCGAAUACAGGGUAUAAUCUCCUGCUGCGUAUGGUUGGUUGGAGAAUGUCGGCUGUUGUGGAUCGACUCGAGGCUUAUCAGCUGGUUUGGGGAGUAGUUGCUUACGAAGCCUUUGACGGGUAGCCGGCCUGAGAGGGUGAACGGGCACCAUGGGACUGCGAUACGGACCAGAAUCGUAUGGGAGGCAGUAGUGGGGAAUCUUGCACAAUGGGGGGACGCGUGAUGCAGAAAUGUCGAGUGCGGGAAGAUGGGUUUUGGGUUGUAAACAGAUUUGGAAUGUGAUGAAGAGGGAGUGACGGUAAUGGGUAAAGAAGCAACGGCUAACUACGUG